Molecule: long non-coding RNA, 2333 nt
Filed under: Homo sapiens (human)
Lineage: Eukaryota; Metazoa; Chordata; Mammalia; Primates; Hominidae
Description: HSALNT0153373
Source: RNAcentral
AAACAGGACACAAUUGGAGAAACUGGUUAUUUUACCAAGGCUUUGACUGGAAUGGUGCACUUUCCUUUAAGGAUCAAACAUGACUUAUGGAGCCAAUUAAAUCCCCUUGGGAAAACUGGCCUCAUUGCUUGUCUACACAGUUCCUGUCCAGGGUUCCUGACUUACGGUAAGUAACAAAUGUCACUUUCUGGGAGGCCCAGGAGCCCCAAGUUUAUCUCAGAACCUCAAAAGGAGAGGAAUUCACCCAACUCAUAGGUAUUCGAUGGUACAAAUCCAUGGCUGGGCUUGGCUUUAUAAAAGUCUUAUCUGAGAUUCCUUUUAUGGAACAAAGUUCCAUCAAAGCCAACUUAAAAGCUUGUGUAAAAAAUAUUAUUCUUGCUAUACUAUAUACAAAUAAGCAGGCCAAGUAUAACAAAGCAAAUCAGUCUUACCAUGUUCUGUCUUUAAUAAAAAUGGGAAACUCGAGAAAGAAAAAUUUUGUUUCGAAAACUAAAUUUAGAUUCUAGUCUUACCUAAUGUUUUUCAAUUUUUAUUAUUUUCUAGAGGUGGGACUGAAUUCUAAUUUUUAUUAUUUUCUAAAGGUGGGACUGAAUUCUAAUUUUUCUUGGCUACAAGUCUUCAAAAUAAUGUUUUCAAUUUUUUUCCUUCCCCCUGCCAUUUUUCCUAUCUGGAGUCACUGAAAACUAAGCUGUGUUUUCAUAAAGCCCUGUGAACUGAAGCCAGACAACUUAAACUUCAGAAGAAAGUAACAGCAACCUAUUUACAUACAUAAGCCAGUCUCAUACCUGCCUACUGAUGUAUGGACUUCAGAGUAAUGUGGCCUACACCAAUAUUUCAGGAUUGUUCUUUUGUUUGUUGUUGUUUUUCUCCCUUCCUCUCCCUAUUUUCUCUUCACAGGAUGUGAGACUUCACAACCUGCUAAAAAUGAACUUUCCUAAUAACUCGGGACCUACCCAUCUAGGAAUAAACCAUCCUAUUCAUGACAGUGCCUGUGAAAGAUAAAGGAGAAAGAAUCAGGGUUGGAGAACUGGAAAAGUCUUGGCCAACCAAAUAGGCAACCCUGCAGCAAAGAUUGCCCAUUAGAAGAGUCAAAUGCUAGGAAGAAAUUGCAAACCCUACUAUUCUCACUGUGCUCAAACUUCGACUAGGAACUUCCACAAAGAGUGUGGCCUUGGCUUGAACAUUGCAGCAGCAGAUUAUGUAGGUGCUGAACUUGGAGUUUUGCACUUCUCACAGCUGACAGCAAAUUCUUUCUUCAAGGGAGACCUGAGCAGUCCUCCAUAUCUGCCAAAUUACUGCAUAGGAACAAAAAGGAGCCCUCCAUUCAUCUAAGAAGCAAAAUGAACUAGCAGAGAGAGCUUUGGCAUCAGGCAAAUCUGAUUGUAAAUACUUCUAGCAUAUAGUUGCUCUUACAUUGAGUUGGAUUGCUGGAUCAGGAAAUAUUAAUAUUUUAAAGACAUUUAUUACCAAACCAGUAUCAAAAAUAUCACUUUGGUUGACCAUGAUACCAGCAAUGGAUACAUGUAUAUGUUUCCCUGAAAUGCUAUGAAUACUGUUUUUCUGAGGCAUGAAGAGGUAAGCAGCAACACAAAGACUAGCAUCAAUGCCUCCUCUUUUUUUAUCUAGUGCUUUCAGCACAACCUAUCAUAUGAGCAAAAAGUAUACAUUAAUCUAGUAGAUGCACCUGCCUAUUUUAUCUUGUGGUUUAACUUCCAAGAACACUUCCUAAAAAUAUACAAUGUCUUAGCACCAAUUACAAUGUUAUAAUUAAUUUAUCCUUAAUUUUCUGAAUAAAGUAAUUUUCAGGCACAUCUUUCCAUGGAUUCGGUUUGUAGUUCUGGCUAAUUGCAUGGGCUCAGAAACCAGACGGAAUCUCAAGUCUCCUACUUAGUAGAUAUGUGAGAGGCACAGGGGUUACUCAGUCUUUCUGCACUUCAAUUUUCUUCCUAUGAAAUGGGUUUGACAAUGGCAUAGAAUUUAGAGUAUUAUGACACAUAAAUGAGUUAAUAUAAAGAAACUACUUAAAAAGUAUCUAAUAUACAGUAAAAUACCAAUAAAUUCUAGCUGUAUUUGGGAGCUCCCUAAAUAUGUAGUAGGGAGAUAUAUAUUUAAUAGGCUUUGUCUUUGUUUAAAAUGAUUGAUUGAUUAGGCCAUUUAUGUUGUAAUAUAUGUUUAACACCAUGUAGAUCAGGGAAGACAAAUAUAUUUCAUGUCCCAUUGUCAUUUGACUGGUAAUGGCUGCCUGGAACACUGUGCUGAAAAGGAUUGUGUGUCCACAUCUAUGACUAGAGAGAGUCAUAUUUAAUUAGCAGUGUCAGCCACAGGUGCAGAAG